RNAcentral lists this ribosomal RNA (478 nucleotides) under uncultured bacterium. RNAcentral's name for it is "partial 16S ribosomal RNA". It matches the Rfam family "Bacterial small subunit ribosomal RNA", at positions 28 to 523 of the family's 1533-position model. The record is from RNAcentral.
GUUGAACGCUGACAGAAUGCUUAACACAUGCAAGUCUACUUGAUUCUACUUCGGUAGUUGAUGGUGGCGGACGGGUGAGUAACGCGUAAAGAAUCUGCCCUUUAGUUUGGGAUAACCUUUGGAAACGAAGGCUAAUACCGGAUAUUAUGGAGACGUCGCAUGGCGACUCCAUGAAAGCUAUAUGCGCUAGAGGAGGACUUUGCGUCCCAUUAGUUAGUUGGUGAGGUAAUGGCUCACCAAGACCGCGAUGGGUAGCCGACCUGAGAGGGUGAUAGGCCACAAGGGCACUGGGACACGGUCCGUACUCCUACGGGAGGCAGCAGUGGGGAAUAUUAGACAAUGGGCCACAAGCCUGAUCCAGCAAUUCUGUGUGCACGAUGAGGGUCUUCGGAUUGUAAAGUGCUUUCAGUAGGGAAGAAAAAAAUGACGGUACCUACAGAAGAAGCGACGGCUAAAUAUGUGCCAGCCGCCGCAGUAA